CACCGGCGGCUCGAGUGGUGGCCACUUUUAUUGGGUCUAAAGCGGCCGUAGCCGGCUUGGCAAGUCCCCUGGGAAAUCUGGCGGCUUAACCGUCAGGCGUCCAGAGGAUACUGCCAGGCUUGGGACCGGGAGAGGUGAGAGGUCCCUCAGGGGUAGGGGUGAAAUCUUGUGAUCCCUGAGGGACCACCAGUGGCGAAGGCGUCUCACUAGAACGGGUCCGACGGUCAGGGACGAAAGCUGGGGGCACGAACCGG
RNAcentral lists this ribosomal RNA (254 nucleotides) under uncultured microorganism. RNAcentral's name for it is "partial 16S ribosomal RNA". It matches the Rfam family "Archaeal small subunit ribosomal RNA", at positions 474 to 727 of the family's 1478-position model. The record is from RNAcentral.